This 497-nucleotide ribosomal RNA is filed under the name uncultured bacterium. Its description in RNAcentral is "partial 16S ribosomal RNA". It matches the Rfam family "Bacterial small subunit ribosomal RNA", at positions 28 to 507 of the family's 1533-position model. The record is from RNAcentral.
GAUGAACGCUGGCGGCGUGCCUAAUACAUGCAAGUCGAGCGAACGGACGAGAGGCUUGCUUCUCUGAUGUUAGCGGCGGACGGGUGAGUAACACGUGGAUAACCUACCUAUAAGACUGGGAUAACUUCGGGAAACCGGAGCUAAUACCGGAUAAUAUUUUGAACCGCAUGGUUCAAAAGUGAAAGACGGUCUUGCUGUCACUUAUAGAUGGAUCCGCGCUGCAUUAGCUAGUUGGUAAGGUAACGGCUUACCAAGGCAACGAUGCAUAGCCGACCUGAGAGCGUGAUCGGCCACACUGGAACUGAGACACGGUCCAGACUCCUACGGGAGGCAGCAGUAGGGAAUCUUCCGCAAUGGGCGAAAGCCUGACGGAGCAACGCCGCGUGAGUGAUGAAGGUCUUCGGAUCGUAAAACUCUGUUAUUAGGGAAGAACAUAUGUGUAAGUAACUGUGCACAUCUUGACGGUACCUAAUCAGAAAGCCACGGCUAACUACGUG